GGGGUGGUCUUGCAUUCAAACAGGAAGAAAAAAGCCAUGUGGAUGUUAAAAAUAACAACAAACGACAUCCUGCUGCUCCCAGGUACCAGGGAAUACUUCCAAAAUGCUUUACAUGCAUGAUCUCGUCUGUACUAACAACACUUACGAGACAAGUGCCCCUGUUGUGCCAUUUGACAUAAAAGGAAACUGAGACAUCAAUGAAUCAUGUGACUAACCAGAGUGUGGCCCUCAAGGGGUGGAGUCAGGUCUGGAUAUAGCAGUGUGGUCCUGCGGCCUUGACCUUUCCCUUUACCCAGGACUCCUUUGGAUGUGGAGUUCAGGAUGGAGAUUUUGUCAAGGGAUCCCAGAGGUCUCAGAUCCAUUCUGGCUUGAUCAGUAAGUGUGGGAACUAAAGGGUGCACGUGAGUGUGGCCUGGUGUCCUUCCCUGCCCUGCUGGCCGCACAUGCUCACUGAGGUGAGUGUGCUGCAUGGUAUGGCUGCUUCCUGCCUGGCCUGCUAUGCCUUUCAGCUCUCCAACCCCAUGUCUGGUGUUCUCCAUCCCCCUUCAGAUGAACACAAGGACCUGACCACCAUCCCACUCCUGGUCGAGCAGCCCAGGAAACGUCACCCAUUUGCCAUUCAGAAGUCGUCCACACAGCCAGCAGAGGGGGCCAUGGCAGCACAGCACCCCAGGUCAUCCCACGGUGACCAAGUGUCAGAAAAACAUCUCCCCUGUCCUGCUUUCACAGUCUGGGUGCCACGGGCAUUCUCAUGACCCACACAAACUGUUGUGUGAAGAUGCAGCUUGGAGUCAGGUGCUAGUGAGUUCCCAGUCCCAUCCUGGGGAACCUGGCCCAUCAACCUCCCCCAACUGAGAACAGGCAGAGCAAGUCAUUCUGGCAGAAUACGAACAGCUACUCUGGACUGGAAAGCCCACAGUGGCGGCUGGACUGGGGUAUUAAAACUUAAAGAAUGACUGGAUCGACGAGCCUGUUGGCUUACCCUUCAUCUGCUAUCUAUGGCUUUGAUCCAAAGACAGGGCAGUCUCCACACAGAGAGCAAGGAGAGCCAGCAUCCUGAGAGACUUACUCUUUUGCUUUGCAUGCUAGAGUUGUGGGUUGUUAUGGUUGGGACCUAAAAAUGUCCCUCACAGGACUUAUAUGUCAGAUGCAGGAACAUUCAGAAGGGACAAGAUUAGAUGAUAACGGAGGCUGUAACCUCGUCAGUGGAUCAAUCCAUUGGAUGGAUGAUUUCUGUGGGUUAUUGGAUGGUACUGGAGGCAGGUGGGGCAUGGCUGAAGGAAGUCACUGGGGGAUGUGCCCUUGGGGACUGUAUCUGGUUCCGGAUCCUCACUUGCUCUCUCUCUUGGUUUCCUGGCUGCCACAAGCUGAGAAACUGUCCUCCAUGAUGUCCUUCUGCCAUGAUGUCUGCCUCACCUCAGGCUCAGAGCAACAGAGUUGGCCAACCAUGGACUGAGACCACUGAAACCAGGAGCCCAAAAUGUUUCCUUCUCUAAGUUUUCCUUGUCCUGUAUUUUGGUUACAGCCAUGAAACCCUGGGGUGUCAGUUCAGGUGGCAUUAUGGGCACCCAAAAGGCUUGAAAGCUCCAGCUUUGUGGACAGGAGCCCAGCACAGCCCUGGGGGCCACAGCAUGUGUUUGCAGAGCCCUUUCCUCUUCCCCUUCUUUUUUUCUGGCCUCUUUGUCCUGAACAGGACCCUGGUUGUUUGGAACUGCCUUCCAGAGCAGGGAAUGAAAACACGGAGAGGCCCUGGCCUUCUGACUGGAGAGCCAGCCUGUGAGCCAAGGGCAAGGCCAACAGCUGGAGGAGGGGCCUGUGCUCAGCACACAGACCCCACCCAAACCUGGGGCUCACUCCUAAGCUGAGCAAACCCCACAUAUCACAGCAAAAGCUUUGAAGACAGGACUGGCAUUGAGCUGAGACCACCAACAAUAGAAGGUGGACAAGACUUGCAGUUUGAACCUGACCAUGACAAGAGCCAACCAAAACAGAAAGCUCAUGUUCUUAGGAGGAUUUUAAGAGCCCACAUCAGAUUAUGAAUCAUAACAAAUCAAGAUGAUCAAUCAAAAAGGACUCAGCAUCCCAUGGUCUGAAAAGAUAGGCAAGUCUUUAAAGCAAAGUCCAUCAACAAUCACCAGAAUCACCAUGGCCCAUACAUUGGAAAACACAUCACAGAUUCUCACCAUGCUCCAGAAGAGAAAGAAAACACUCUAGAAAUGAGUGAGAAGACAGAUGACUCAGCAGAGAAAUAGAAAAUAUGAAGAAACCACACGAAAAUGUUUGGAGUGAAAAACAUAUGCUUAAAAUAGAAAAUUCACCACUCAGCUCAACAAGAAGGUGGCAUUCACAGAAGACAGACUCAACAAACUAGAAAUAGAAUAUGAAAAAUUAUCCAACCUGAGACAUGUCACAGAAAAAAAUUUGAAAAUAAAAAAGAUACAGUGACCUUGUCUCUGAUGUUGUGAAACAUCAAGACAACUAACAUCUGUGUAUUUGAAGUUCUAGAAGAAGAAAAUAUAUGACUAGGGAAAAGGUUUUGAAGAAAUAAUGGCUGAAAACUUUCUAAAUUUGGUGAAGGAUACAAAUUCCCUGCAAUCAAGAACUUUAGCAAAUUCCAGAUGGGAAAGGCAGAAGGAAACCCCAGGUAGAAAGCUGCCAGACGCUGUGCUCCUGUCCUCUGCAGGAGAAGAGGCAGCACAGGCCCUCCUGCUCCAUGUGCUGAGUGCAGGGGAGACUGGGCUCGACCCUCUCCACCCCUGGCUCCCACAGUUGUGGCUCUUUUUUGAACAACUGGAUCUGCAUAUGCUUCCAAGAGCACCAUCCCAUAGCAGCUGGUGACCACCAUGCAACAGUGCUAUACACUAGCCUAGAUUUGAGAUUGCUUAUUUUCUUAAUCUCUAUAUUAAAGGCAUAAAGUUCUAUGGAUGAACCUUCAAAAUUCUGAAAUGAAAAACAAGAGUUCUUGGGGCUGGGGUUGUAGAAUGCUUCCUUGCAUGUGUGAGGAACUGGGUCCGAACCUCAGCACCAUAUACAAAUAAAUAAACAAAAUAAACAUAUUGUGUCCAACUACAACUAGAAAAUAUUAAAGGGGAAAAAAAAGGGUUCUUGC
Molecule: long non-coding RNA, 3109 nt
Filed under: Marmota monax (woodchuck)
Lineage: Eukaryota; Metazoa; Chordata; Mammalia; Rodentia; Sciuridae
Source: RNAcentral